Molecule: RNA transcript, 3452 nt
Organism: Macaca mulatta (Rhesus monkey)
Lineage: Eukaryota; Metazoa; Chordata; Mammalia; Primates; Cercopithecidae
Gene name: bolA-like protein 2 pseudogene
Source: RefSeq, a predicted model, not a curated record
AAAAAAUAAGUUAUCAGAGGAGUCUUGUCAAAUGCUACCUUAUUGAGGAAUAUUAAAUGUCUCUUGGCCAGAUUUCUCCUGACCCUGAAAUGAUGGCAUCAGCUGAAUAUGUGUCAACUCAACACAUGCUUUCUAGGAAUUUUCUGAGUUUACCAUAUUUAAAAAUGCCUUUUGUCUUGGAAUCUGAAAAAGAGGGGGAGGGGCAACGUGGACAGAAUUCUUCACAGAUGAAACUGGCUAGCUGAUCUUUUUUUGAACUUGGUGCUCCUGGAGCUGCUUUCUCCUUGAUAUGCCCAUGCUUACCUCUAGCAGUGGCUAUAAUUGGUUUCCAAGGGUUAAGGACAAAUAAGCUGUUAAAUUAUCAGUAGAUUAUACAGGAUUAGACUUUUACCCAUUAUGAAAUGCUAAAGGUGUAUGCAAUUUUUUUUUUUCUCAAGCAGAAAGGUUGAUGUGGUGCUACGAUCUCCAUUUUUUGCCAUGCCCAACAUGGUGUUAAUGUAAGAGAACUGCAUCAAUAAAGAUGACCUGGAGAAGCUGGCUCCAUAUGGGCUCAGAGGAAAGCCCCCUGUCUCUCAAAAUAGCACUUUGGCUGCUGGAGAUUUGUGCUUUUUCUAAGAAUCAGGCAGGAUUGUUUAGACUGCAAAGAGAAAAAGUUCUUGGAUUUCUUAAGGCCUAAUACUCUUGGGUUUGGAACAUGCAACUUGCUAAGUGGCACUAUUUCCUGUUUAUUUUGAGAGUUAACAAUUGCUAUUAACUAACAAAAGCCAUCUUUACUUCCAAAUGUGUGUUAAAAAUGUGUCUUUUACAUGUCUUGAGUUUUUCAGCACUGGAGAGGAGGGGUUAAUAAGCAGAAGUGUUUGGAAAUAAUCCCUUACUCAUUUGGAUUACUUGUAGAUUAGGGAGUAUUAUGCUGGAAGGUACACCUGGAAAAAGAGAACUUUGAGGACUGGUCUAAAAGGAGGGGGUUUUGUGGUUGUCCAAUGGAAAGCAAUGAUCCAUCCCCAAAAACCAAUAUAACUUGUGUUUCCAUUUAAUUUAUCUCUUAAAGAUAGCUACUAGUUUUCAACAUUUUUUUCAUGUAUGGUGCUCAUAUAUUUAGUUUUAAUUGCAUUUGUGUUCUGCAAUUGGAAUUCCAUUUUUUAAAAUGACCUUAGAACAACAUGGCAUCUAAGUUUCUUCAAAGAUCUUUGCAAAAGGAAAAACCCUUCUUUAGAAAAGUGCUUUCAAUUUGUGUUCAUUGCAGUGAUAAUAUAAUUGUUUAGCUUUUUUCAGAUCCAAGAUAUCAAUAGCAUGACAUAAAUGCAACCUAAAUGAUGCGUUUUUAAAAUGAUGCAUCUCUUUUAAAGUAUAUUUUUAUUUCGGAGGAUUCUCCUGUUAGAACUUAUUUUUCCUUGACUCUCCAUGUAAAAGCAGAUGCUUUAAAUAUUUCCUUUAAGAAUUUUGAUAACAUUGGCUUAAAAAUAAAAGCUGAAAUGUGUGUGUCCUUCCUGGCAGGUGGUAAAGUAAACGUAAGAAGCAUUUUUGUACAAUGUCUUUUCCUCUGAGUCUGUUUUCAUUCAUAAGGGAAACUUACGUAUUAGGUGGUAGAAGGCAUAAUAAACAUAUGAAACCAAACAGUUUUGAUUUAGUAUGAUUUUUUUACUUUCAGAUAAUUGGGAUCAAUAGAAAAGAGUAAGUUUCAGAUUUUCUUUUACGAAUAUCAAGCAAUUGCUUCUGGCCCUGUGCUCCAUCAGAAAUGUGAAUCCAUGAUACUUGCUUAAGCAAGUUUUGUUAAUUCCUAGUUGAAUCCCUUUAAGUGCCAAGAAAAAAAAAAAAAAAGCAUGUAAGCUCAGAGGGUGGGCCCAGCUCCUGGAAAGGCUUUUGGGGUUUGUUUUUACCCUGCUCUUGGGGUACUAGGGGAGCUAAGGGAUUCUGAGGAAAGCAAGAAAGCAAAGGAUUAAAUGGACAUCAACAUUUACCAAGGGUUUCCUGUGUUUGUAGGGUACACAUAAAUUAGAAGACAUGGUCUGGAGAAUGCUAUGGAUCAGAAUGCUUAAUUAUGAAUUUAAAACAAAUUUAGGGAUCCCGAGGAAGUAUUUGAAAAGAUAGAAAUGUUAAAAAAAAAUUUUUUUUUUUUUUAAGAAUACAAACCCAUCUAUCCAUUUGGAUUUCUCAGAGUGUAAGGUUGGUAUGCUUUAUUUCUCUUUCUGGUGGUUUUUGUUUUGUGCCUUCUCCUGGCACCCCUCCUAUUAAGGCCUACAAAAUACCUCUCUAACCCAUAUUCACUAGGGUUUACCCCUAACCCUCUCUUUCUGGAGAGAGAUAUCUCCAUACGCAUUUUCACUAUCAUUUGAAAGCUAAAGUGGAGGGGUGGGAAGAAAGCAUCGCCAGGCAUCUGCGUGGUGUUUCAGGCUCUGCCAAGUGUCUAUGGCCAUUCCCCUUUGCCCAGGAUAAAGCACAGAAUUCACAGGCUGCUCUUCAAGGCCCCGCAUAAAGGGUUUUAGCCCAACUUUCCAGUUCUUCCAAUUGCAGUAUAACCAAACUGCUCUUUCCUGAUAGACUGGAAUUCUUGAAGGACAGGAAUUAGGCAUUGAAUACUUCUCGUAUUCCCCAGUUUGCUUUCGCUCCUUCUUUUCACAUAAUAAAUGCUAAAUUCUUAUUUGUUGACUUAACAUUUACAUGGUUUCCAUGGGGCCCUAAGAACUUACAACAUGCAUUUGCAUUUUAUGCUGCCUGUGGUAAGUACCAGCGCUGGAUUGCAUGAAAACCUGAAUUAGAAUUCUGCCUCUGAAACCAACAAGCUGGAGGACCUGGGACAGAUUUCUCAGCCUCUUUAAGUUUCCGUGUUUUAAAUCGUCAUACAGAAAGAGGGCUAUCUAAUGUAGACAGCUGUCCUGAGAACAGAGUGAAGCGGAACUUGUGUGAUAUGUCAUAAUGCCUGGCCUACCCCAUGGGCUCCUUGAAUGCUAGAACCUGACCUUAUGGGUGGUUCUAAAAAGCUAAUGUAUGUAAAGCCUAACACAGUGCCAGCAACAUAGAAGAUGCUUUAAAUUCUAAAAAUAGGGAGCAAAGCAGCGAGGCCGGGGUCCGAACUGGGGUUCUGUGCCCGCUGGGCUGCUGCUCCAGCUGGACUAUCGCCAUGGAACUCAGCGCCGAAUACUUCAUGGAGAAGCUGCAGCGGGACCUGACGGCGGAGCAUGUGGCAGUGGAGGACACCACCACCCGCAGCCGUUGUGCCUGUAGCUUCCGAGUCCUGGCGGUGUCGGCCAAGUUCGAGCGCAAGUCCCUGCUUCAGAGACACCGGCUGGUGAACGCGUGCCUAGCAGAAGGGCUUCUGCACAUCAAUACCUUUGAACAGAAAACCCUGAUCCCAGAGCAGUGGGCCCGUGAGCGGUAGAAAUGAGGGACUGGGACUUGCACAGCCAUUAAAUUAUAAAUCUGGAAAAAAAAUUCUAAAAAUAAAUCUCCUGAAU